This 348-nucleotide unclassified non-coding RNA is filed under the name rhizosphere metagenome. RNAcentral describes it as "partial ribosomal RNA internal transcribed spacer region". The record is from RNAcentral.
GUAGGUGAACCUGCGGAAGGAUCAUUAAAAGUACCCUGCCCACGGCCGUCGUCGCCCCUGAAAAAGGCUGCGAUGUGAGCUGUGAGCCUGAGUUACACUCUGGCCUGAUCUCUGUCCGGCGACCCCCGACGGGGGAAGCCGGAACCAACGGAGGGAGGUUUCAUGUGUCCACCCUUUGUGAAACCCUUCUAUAUGCUUCGGCAGCACGGCUCCGCGGGCAACGGUGGGUCGGUAAGGCUGCCAGAAGCCCAUAUCAAAACCAGUUGAUGUAACGUCAUGCUGUCUGAUACAAUUACUUUGAGAAAUCAAAUUAUAUUAAAACUUUCAGCAACGGAUCUCUUGGUUCUC